Molecule: transfer-messenger RNA, 198 nt
Filed under: Rheinheimera sp.
Lineage: Bacteria; Pseudomonadati; Pseudomonadota; Gammaproteobacteria; Chromatiales; Chromatiaceae
Description: partial transfer-messenger RNA
Rfam family: transfer-messenger RNA
About the family: Bacterial tmRNA, also known as 10Sa RNA or SsrA, is named for its dual tRNA and mRNA-like properties.
Source: RNAcentral
GGGGCCGAUACUGGAUUCGACGGGAUUCACGAACUCUUAGGUGCAUGCCGAGGUGCGGUAGGCCUCGUAAAAAAGCCGCAAACUAGUAGUCGCAAACGACGAAACUUACGCAAUCGCUGCCUAAUAAGCAGUAGAUGCUCUCCCCCCCGCGCAUGCCUGUAAGCCGGGAUUUUGGGAGAUCACCCCUAACAGGAUCGC